Molecule: ribosomal RNA, 433 nt
Filed under: uncultured bacterium
Lineage: Bacteria
Description: partial 16S ribosomal RNA
Rfam family: Bacterial small subunit ribosomal RNA
Source: RNAcentral
AACGAACGCUGGCGGCAUGCCUAACACAUGCAAGUCGAACGAGACCUUCGGGUCUAGUGGCGCACGGGUGCGUACCACCUGGUAACCAGCCCUUAGGUUCGGAAUAACUCAGUGAAAUUUGACCUAAUACCGGAUGAUGUCUUCGCACCAAAGAUUUAUCGCCUUUAGAUGGGCCCGCGUUGGUUUAGCUAGUUGGUGGGGUAAAGGCCUACCAAGGCGACGAUCCAUAGCUGGUCUGUGAGGAUGAUCCGCCACACUGGGGAUGCGACACGGCCCAGACUGCGACGCGAGGGAGGAGUGGGGAAUAUUGGAGAAGGGGCGAAAGUCUGAUACAGCAAUGCCGCGUGAGUGAUGAAGGCGUUAGGGUUGUAAAGCUCUUUUAGCCGAGAUGAUAAUGACAGUAACGGGAGAAUAAGCACCGGCUAACUACGUG